Dallia pectoralis (Alaska blackfish) is the source of this 71-nucleotide non-coding RNA. Lineage: Eukaryota; Metazoa; Chordata; Actinopteri; Esociformes; Umbridae. The record is from the annotation of a GenBank genome assembly.
GAAAUGGUAGCUCAGUGGUAGAGUGCAUGCUUGGUAUGAAUUAUAUCCUGGGUUCAAUCCCCAGCUUCUCA